GGGCAGUUAGCUCAGUUGGGGGAGCAUCGCCCUUACAAGGCGAGGGUCACAGGUUCAAGUCCUGUACUGCCCACCA
RNAcentral lists this transfer RNA (76 nucleotides) under Desulfovibrio sp. RNAcentral describes it as "tRNA-Val". It matches the Rfam family "tRNA". From Rfam's summary of the family: Transfer RNA (tRNA) molecules are approximately 80 nucleotides in length. Their secondary structure includes four short double-helical elements and three loops (D, anti-codon, and T loops). Lineage: Bacteria; Pseudomonadati; Thermodesulfobacteriota; Desulfovibrionia; Desulfovibrionales; Desulfovibrionaceae. The record is from RNAcentral.